This 459-nucleotide ribosomal RNA is filed under the name uncultured bacterium. RNAcentral describes it as "partial 16S ribosomal RNA". It matches the Rfam family "Bacterial small subunit ribosomal RNA", at positions 338 to 795 of the family's 1533-position model. The record is from RNAcentral.
CCUACGGGCGGCAGCAGUGAGGAAUAUUGGUCAAUGGGCGCGAGCCUGAACCAGCCAAGUCGCGUGAGGGAAGACGGUCCUAUGGAUUGUAAACCUCUUUUGUCGGGGAGCAAAAGACGCCACGCGUGGCGUUCCGAGAGUACCCGAAGAAAAAGCAUCGGCUAACGCCGUGCCAGCAGCCGCGGUAAUACGGAGGAUGCGAGCGUUAUCCGGAUGUAUUGGGUGUACAGGGUGCGCAGGCGGACGGGCAAGUCGGCGGGAAAAUUGAGAGGCUCAACCUCUUCGAGCCGUUGAAACUGGUGUUCUUGAGUGGGCGAGACGUAGGCGGACUGCGUGGUGUAGCGGUGAAAUGCAUCGAUAUCACGCAGAACUCCGAUUGCGAAGGCAGCAUACCGGCGCUCAACUGACGCUCAUGCACGAACGUGUGGGUAUCGAACAGGAUUAGAUACCCCAGUAGUC